This 460-nucleotide ribosomal RNA is filed under the name uncultured bacterium. Its description in RNAcentral is "partial 16S ribosomal RNA". It matches the Rfam family "Bacterial small subunit ribosomal RNA", at positions 338 to 795 of the family's 1533-position model. The record is from RNAcentral.
CCUACGGGAGGCAGCAGUGAGGAAUAUUGGUCAAUGGGCGUAAGCCUGAACCAGCCAAGUCGCGUGAGGGAUGAAGGUUCUAUGGAUCGUAAACCUCUUUUAUAAGGGAAUAAAGUGUGGGACGUGUCCUGUUUUGUAUGUACCUUAUGAAUAAGCAUCGGCUAACUCCGUGCCAGCAGCCGCGGUAAUACGGAGGAUCCGAGCGUUAUCCGGAUUUAUUGGGUUUAAAGGGUGCGUAGGCGGCCUUUUAAGUCAGCGGUGAAAGUCUGUGGCUCAACCAUAGAAGUGCCGUUGAAACUGGGAGGCUUGAGUAUGUUUGAGGCAGGCGGAAUGCGUGGUGUAGCGGUGAAAUGCUUAGAUAUCACGCAGAACCCCGAGUGCGAAGGCAGCCUGCCAAGCCAUGACUGACGCUGAUGCACGAAAGCGUGGGGAUCAAACAGGAUUAGAUACCCCAGUAGUC